RNAcentral lists this long non-coding RNA (1652 nucleotides) under Bemisia tabaci. RNAcentral's name for it is "lncRNA ENSSSA3NGG006259". The record is from RNAcentral. Lineage: Eukaryota; Metazoa; Arthropoda; Insecta; Hemiptera; Aleyrodidae.
AUGAAACUUGGAUUUCAAAGAUCAAGAAUGGCCCGAAAAGAACGAAAUCAUUUUAGCAGUCAACUUUAUGGAAAAGAAAAGAUCCUGCAGACAUACCUAAUACUGGAGCUGAUGAUUUUUACUCUCGGGUUCCCUAAGUCACAAACUUUGCCAAGUUUUUUUCCGGAAACCUUCCUUCCUAAACUGGCUCAAAGGAAAAUAACGAUGGCUGAAGUUGGAAAAUGCGUACUUCGAGUUACGACGUCUAAAUGCCGGAAUCCUUUAAAAAUUGUGGCAGAACAUGGUUCUAUUACGCCUUCUAGCUAUGUGUCUUCCCUUGACAUUUUAUUUGUAAAACUUAAAUUAACGAUCUACUUCGCCUUUUAGCUACGUUCUUCCCUUGACAUUUUGUUUGUAAAACGUAAAUUAACGGAUCCAUUGCGCCUUUUAGCUAUGUGUCUUCCCUUGAAAUGUUUUUUGUAAAACGUGAAUUAAAGCUGCAUGAAACAGUGCGAACAUACUAUGUUUAUUCGUUCGGUUUACUACUCGAAUACAAACUUUUACGAUCUAUGCCUUCGUCUACUUUUAGCUUAAUAUCUCAAGGUCUACAGGGUGGCUUCUUUGAGAAAAAAAAGCUAAACCGUGUCUCUAUAGGCAUGGCAGAUCCGGUUUUUUGCCAUAAAUUGAAAUCGAAACCUGUAUUUAGCAAAAUGAGUUCGAUAUCACAAUGUUUGUUACUUUGAUGUAGAUUCAAGUAAAAAAAUUUAAAAAAUGUGCUCACUUGCAAAGCCCACGGUGUGAGUUUCUUGGCGGCAUUUUUAAAGUAAAGCGCUUCAGCGUAGCACUGGGCGUUCCUCGUCUUCAGCGGGGCGUAGAGCUCUAAAAAGGGAUUUAGAGAGAAGAAAACGGCAUUGGUAGAAGCACUGAGGCCCUGUCCAAAAUACGAACAGAAGAUCCCUGCAAUGAGCAAGGCCCACGCCCGUCCCUGCGCCCAACAACACAUCGCGAUCACGAUUUUCAGGCCGAAAUUUUAAGCGCAGGGCGCAUUUUUCGCGACGACGCGUAACCGCCGCGGUUUCGGCGAUAACUGCCAUCGGCCCGCGCGGAUUGAAUAAAAAAACACUUCGACGUGCGCAGUUGCCAAAUUUGUUGAUAAGAGAACAAAGAGAGUAAAUAUUUUUUUUAUUUCAACUGAAAAACAUUAUUAAUGAAAAUGCAAACGAAGUGGAAAAAAAUCGACACAUUUGUUUUUAAAAAAAAAAAUGGCAUUGAAAUAUGGCUUUUAUUUUUAAAGUUAAGGUAAUUGUCGGUCUACAAUGACGGUUUUCUAAUCUUAUUUUUACCAGGAGCAUAUUUUUCCUUUGAUUUUAAAAAUAGAUCUUUUAAUAUUUUUAUUUCCAUUUUUCAGUACAUUUAAUAAUAUUUGUAUGAAUUAUUGCGAAACUGAACCAACUCUUCGCCAUAUUUUGCUGGAUAGUAGGAGGUCGGGUAAUCGAAGGCAAAAAAUGUAUAAAUAACAGUGGGAGCUUGGAUCCCCCCCUACCCCCAGCAACGAUUGACGGUGGGUGAAUUCGCAAGUCUAAUAAUUGCCAAAGAAUGAAAUUUCACACACUUCUACAAAAUUUGACAACCUAAUAGAAUCAACAAGGAAAAGAUUAGAUUAAAGUACUUCG